Small nuclear RNA from Eptesicus fuscus (big brown bat), 106 nucleotides. The record is from RefSeq and is a predicted model, not a curated record. NCBI's taxonomy places the organism in Eukaryota, Metazoa, Chordata, Mammalia, Chiroptera, Vespertilionidae.
GUGCUUGCUUCAGCAGCACAUAUACUAAAAUUGGAACAAUAUAGAGAAGAUGAACAUGGCCCCGCACAAGGAUGACAAAGAAAUUUGUGAAGCAUUCCACGUAGUU